AGUUGGUUGACAUCGGGUCAGA
RNAcentral lists this microRNA (22 nucleotides) under Drosophila virilis. RNAcentral describes it as "dvi-miR-133-5p". Its record names the gene dvi-miR-133-5p. Lineage: Eukaryota; Metazoa; Arthropoda; Insecta; Diptera; Drosophilidae. The record is from miRBase by way of RNAcentral.